This 478-nucleotide ribosomal RNA is filed under the name uncultured bacterium. RNAcentral's name for it is "partial 16S ribosomal RNA". It matches the Rfam family "Bacterial small subunit ribosomal RNA", at positions 28 to 523 of the family's 1533-position model. The record is from RNAcentral.
GACGAACGCUGGCGGCGCGCUUAACACAUGCAAGUCGAGCGAGAACCAGGACUUCGGUCCUGGGGAGAGCGGCGAACGGGUGCGUAACACGUGAGCAACCUGCCCCGAAGACCGGGACAACCCGAGGAAACUCGGGCUAAUACCGGAUGCCUUCACCGGAUCGCAUGAUCUGGUGAAGAAAUGGAUUCCGCUUCGGGAUGGGCUCGCGGUCUAUCAGCUUGUUGGUGGGGUAACGGCCUACCAAGGCGACGACGGAUAGCUGGUCUGAGAGGACGAUCAGCCACACUGGGACUGAGACACGGCCCAGACUCCUACGGGAGGCAGCAGUGGGGAAUCUUGCGCAAUGGGGGAAACCCUGACGCAGCGACGCCGCGUGCGGGAUGAAGGCCUUCGGGUUGUAAACCGCUUUCAGCAGGGACGAAAUUGACGGUACCUGCAGAAGAAGGCCCGGCCAACUACGUGCCAGCCGCCGCCGUAA